RNAcentral lists this transfer RNA (68 nucleotides) under Amycolatopsis sp. Hca4. RNAcentral describes it as "tRNA-Asp". The record is from RNAcentral. Lineage: Bacteria; Bacillati; Actinomycetota; Actinomycetes; Pseudonocardiales; Pseudonocardiaceae.
GGGGGCGGGUUCGGUAACCAGGGUGGCCUGUCAAGCGUCCCAAGCGGGUUCAACCCCCGUCGCCUCCA